GAGGCUGUGGAAUGGUGGUAGAGUCUCUGCUUUCCAUGCAGAAGGUCCCAGGUUCAAUCCUGGGGGCUUCA
Molecule: transfer RNA, 71 nt
Filed under: Sphaerodactylus townsendi
Lineage: Eukaryota; Metazoa; Chordata; Lepidosauria; Squamata; Sphaerodactylidae
Description: tRNA-Gly
Rfam family: tRNA
About the family: Transfer RNA (tRNA) molecules are approximately 80 nucleotides in length. Their secondary structure includes four short double-helical elements and three loops (D, anti-codon, and T loops).
Source: RNAcentral